Molecule: long non-coding RNA, 1154 nt
Organism: Entelurus aequoreus (snake pipefish)
Lineage: Eukaryota; Metazoa; Chordata; Actinopteri; Syngnathiformes; Syngnathidae
Exons: 5
Source: RefSeq, a predicted model, not a curated record
UCGUGACGUCAUAUUUCAAAAUGGCAGAGCCCGCGGAAAGACCCCCUGGAGUCGACUCCAUUUCCCAAGAAAAGAUGUCAACAGCGCGACUUGUAACAAUUAUAAGGCCGAGGAGGGUUAUUUGAACACACACCAUUCAAUUAUUAUAAAUGAAAGUCACGUUUUGUAACCGCUCUGGUCUCGUCCCAGCGGAAGUGACGCUAGCACGUCAUCAGAAUACAACAGAUCAACACGACGAGAGAGACAUUCUGCCGCUAGACAAAGGUCACCGAGCAGCGACGAAGUUUGCAUUUUCGGUAGAGGUCCAGGGAGCCACGAGGGCGGUGCUAAAGAGACGCGGGUUGCUGACCCCCGGCCUACACCCUAGACUGGCCGCCAGUUCAUCACAGGACACAUGAACAAGCCUUCGCCCUCAAAUCAGAGAAAGCAGCAUCUGCUCAUCCAGAAACAACAACACCAGAAAUGUGUCCCGUGAAAAACCGUCCGACCAGAACUCUAAUAACUAAAGUUCCUUGGGUGAAUAAUGGUAACUCACUACACCGGUAUGUUUUAGGGCUUUCAUGGCGAGUUUACUGCCUGAAAUAAGUAAUAACUUUACACUGCUUUUUAUUACAAAUGGCAACAGCAGAGGAUGGAUGUCCCAUAACAAGAAGGUGGAGAAAAAGAAGAAGCUUAUCGACUACGGUGUCUGCACGGACUACAAAGGCGGACCUGCACAAAUUUUCAGGUACCAGAAGUACCUCCGUGUCUCCGCAGUGAGCCGUGCGCCUCACCUGCCGAUCUUCCCCCUGGACUCUGACUGCCUUCCUCGACCUCCGCACUCGGACCUGGACUUCUGGACGCCUCUCUCCUGCCCCCACGGACCUCGCUCAGAUCACGAACCUCUUUUGCUUCUCCCCUCUGGACUUCUUUGCUGCCACAACCAACACACACUUACAAUAACCUCUGGUAACUUAUAUUUGUUAACUUCUACACAUAGCCCUGCAUCCACACACAUAGUAGCAUACACACCCGACGUAAUCAUCAAGCUCAAAUAAAACCCGUUGAGCUAGACCUCCUGCUGUCGUACCGUCUCCUUCCCCCUUCGUCUUACGUAACAGUACCGGUACCAAAAUGUAUUUUGAUACUUUUCUAAAAAAAAGGGUACCACAAAA